This 797-nucleotide long non-coding RNA is filed under the name Salvator merianae (Argentine black and white tegu). RNAcentral's name for it is "lncRNA (ENSSMRG00000000218.1)". The record is from RNAcentral. Lineage: Eukaryota; Metazoa; Chordata; Lepidosauria; Squamata; Teiidae.
GGUCAGACAAGCAGCACUUUUCAAUAAUUGAUGAUGCUGAGUUUCUAAGUAAAACCAAAAAUGACAGAUGAGUUAACAGAAGACAAGAGCAUAAAAGUCUGUCCAGUUUCUUUCCUCUGCAGACUAAAGAGAAAUGAGUGAUUAAAGUCCAAGCUUGGGAACUGUAGCACUAAGGUUACAGCUCAGAUUCCAUUAAAAGAAAAGAAAAGAAAAGAAAAGAAAAGAAAAGAAAAGAAAAGAAAAGAAAAGAAAAGAAAAGAAGAAAGAAAGAAAGAAAGAAAGAAAGAAAGAAAGAAAGAAAGAAAGAAAAGAAGAAAGAAAGAAAGAAAGAAAGAAAGAAAGAAAGAAAGAAAGAAAGAAAGAAAGAAAGAAAGAAAGAAAGAAAGAAAGAAUCUUGCACGGCAAGAGAAAGAGGUGAGAUGGUAAAAUUUUUGUACAGGUGUCUGGAAUCAAUAGACUACUAUAGGGUGAUAUAAAGACUGAUAUUCCAACAAGAUGGAGGUUCUGAAAACUGUUUCUCAACAUGGAGGAAGAAGGAAGCAUAUCAGCNUCUGCAGUUGCCCUGCGAGUGUCUUCUUGGAGCUUACUGCUGCUAUCCCAGAAAACUUAGAAGACGAAAAGAAGAAGAAAAGAAGAAAUGUUGUUUGUUCUUGUCAUNCUAUCUAUAUUGUUGUACAUAGACUCAAAUAAAUGCACUCAUAUAUCUGCUACUUCAGGGUAUAAAUAGUUACAAUUAUAUGGUAUUGAGGUGUCAAUGUUUGGUUAAACUUGGUAAAUAAAUCUCAUGGUAAAUAUCA